Molecule: ribosomal RNA, 484 nt
Filed under: uncultured bacterium
Lineage: Bacteria
Description: partial 16S ribosomal RNA
Rfam family: Bacterial small subunit ribosomal RNA
Source: RNAcentral
AUUGAACGCUGGCGGCAGGCCUAACACAUGCAAGUCGAGCGGAUGAAGGGAGCUUGCUCCUGGAUUCAGCGGCGGACGGGUGAGUAAUGCCUAGGAAUCUGCCUGGUAGUGGGGGAUAACGUCCGGAAACGGGCGCUAAUACCGCAUACGUCCUGAUGGAGAAAGUGGGGGAUCUUCGGACCUCACGCUAUCAGAUGAGCCUAGGUCGGAUUAGCUAGUUGGUGGGGUAAAGGCCUACCAAGGCGACGAUCCGUAACUGGUCUGAGAGGAUGAUCAGUCACACUGGAACUGAGACACGGUCCAGACUCCUACGGGAGGCAGCAGUGGGGAAUAGUGGACAAUGGGCGAAAGCCUGAUCCAGCCAUGCCGCGUGUGUGAAGAAGGUCUUCGGAUUGUAAAGCACUUUAAGUUGGGAGGAAGGGCAGUAAGUUAAUACCUUGCUGUUUUGACGUUACCAACAGAAUAAGCACCGGCUAACUUCGUG